CUAUAGUCAAUCUGCAUCUGCAAAUUCAGGUGCCGGGUUUCGCAGCCCGCCGA
This 53-nucleotide non-coding RNA is filed under the name Sodalis glossinidius str. 'morsitans'. The record is from RNAcentral. Lineage: Bacteria; Pseudomonadati; Pseudomonadota; Gammaproteobacteria; Enterobacterales; Bruguierivoracaceae.